CCUACGGGAGGCAGCAGUGGGGAAUAUUGGACAAUGGGCGAAAGCCUGAUCCAGCAAUGCCGCGUGAGUGAUGAAGGCCUUCGGGUCGUAAAGCUCUUUUACCAGGGAUGAUAACGACAGUACCUGGAGAAUAAGCUCCGGCUAACUCCGUGCCAGCAGCCGCGGUAAUACGGAGGGAGCUAGCGUUGUUCGGAAUUACUGGGCGUAAAGAGUACGUAGGCGGUUAUUCAAGUCAGAGGUGAAAGCCCGGGGCUCAACCCCGGAACUGCCUUUGAAACUAGAUAACUAGAGUCUUGGAGAGGUUAGUGGAAUUCCGAGUGUAGAGGUGAAAUUCGUAGAUAUUCGGAAGAACACCAGUGGCGAAGGCGACUAACUGGACAAGUACUGACGCUGAGGUACGAAAGCGUGGGGAGCAAACAGGAUUAGAUACCCUGGUAGUCCACGCCGUAAACGAUGAUAACUAGUUGUUCGGUCACUUGGUGACUGAGUGACGCAGCUAACGCAUUAAGUUAUCCGCCUGGGGAGUACGGUCGCAAGNUUAAAACCUCAAAAGAUAAUAGACGNGNGAGAGCGACGACGACGACGACGAGGAGAG
RNAcentral lists this ribosomal RNA (595 nucleotides) under uncultured bacterium. Its description in RNAcentral is "bacterial SSU rRNA". It matches the Rfam family "Bacterial small subunit ribosomal RNA", at positions 338 to 948 of the family's 1533-position model. The record is from RNAcentral.